GCUUUGCAUAGAAUGUUGUUUGCUGAUGUACUUCAGGCUCCUAUGAAUUACAUUGAAGGUAGCGAGAAAAUACUUGAAGUUGGUGGAAAGUCUGUCAGCUGGCAUAAUUUCUACGUUGCUAUGAAGGGUGGUGGUUUCAUGGAUCCUUCUGUUAUGGAUGUCUUUCUUAAGUGCGUUGACGAUGGUCUUGAUUUCUUAUUUAUUCCAAGCUCUUUGGCGCAUAUUCUUGAUGUGGACGAGGCGGACCCUAUUCAUCUUGCUGCAAGUUUUGCAGAACAUGAUCUGAAGUACUAUGUUUUGGAUAGGGAAGAGGCAUGUUUGUCAUGUUUUGUUUGGCGCUUAUAUUUUUUCUAUUACAAGUAUUGUGAAUGCUUUCUUAUUUCUCGUGGGAUUGUUUAUUUUCAAACAGGUCUACAUUGCUUGUUGCGAUUACAGCCAUUGGUGGGUUAUCUUUGUCGACAUCCAUUUCAGGAAAUUGAGAGUGUCUAGCUCACUGAAGUUGACUGAAUCUCAGAUGGCUUCUACUGAAAGAAUUUGCAAAUCAUUCAAGAAACUUUACAGUCAUCUUCAUGGUGUCGAGGGAUUAAAUAUCUCAUCGUUCAAGAUAAAAGUUUGCGGCACCCCUUCUUGUUC
This is a non-coding RNA of Lolium perenne, 633 nucleotides long. NCBI's taxonomy places the organism in Eukaryota, Viridiplantae, Streptophyta, Magnoliopsida, Poales, Poaceae. The record is from RefSeq and is a predicted model, not a curated record.